CAAACGACCCUGACAAGAGAUAGUGAACUUUGUGACCCAAGCUGUUGCCACUUUAAAUAGAGAAACUAUAAAGCAUGCUUUUGAAUGUUGUGGAAUUGCUCCUCAUGGACAGACUGUAGAACAUAGUCUCUUAAGCUCACUCUUACAGGAUGUUUUGUCUGGCCUUGAGGUAAAUGCGCCAGAUGCACAUAAUGACAAAAUUGAAGAAGAU
Long non-coding RNA from Octopus sinensis (East Asian common octopus), 211 nucleotides. RefSeq lists it as uncharacterized. NCBI's taxonomy places the organism in Eukaryota, Metazoa, Mollusca, Cephalopoda, Octopoda, Octopodidae. The record is from RefSeq and is a predicted model, not a curated record. The transcript is spliced from 3 exons.